AUGCUACUUAGGACAAGAGCACGAAAUAAGGACGUGUUGUGCUCAUAAGCAGCAUUUUGCAGUGUGGCACUCCAUUCAGCUCACACCGACUCGCCCGAAAGGUUGGCAAAGAAGAGCCGAAAUAUAUAGACGAAACGCCUUCAAGACCUUUAUCUCAGCAAGAUGAAGAUCAUUUUUAUUUUGUUCCUCGUUCUUGUUUGUGUCGUGGUCGUUGGCGCAGCACCUACAGAGAAGAUUAGUUCCUUGAAUUCGCCUUGGCCUUACGCUCUGUUGAGUUCCUCCAAUGUGCAAGACCCCAAGGCAUCUGUAUAUAGUCUUUGUUGCAGAUUACAAGUACCCGCGUGUUGCCAAGGACAAUAAAUAAAUGACGAUUUUAUGUUUCAUUUACUUCGUUGUUACUUUUUUAACCUCGCUGAGGAAUUUAUCUCUUGAAGUGAGCUAGAAAAAUAGGAAAUUAUAAACAGUUAUUUUAUGAAUAUUUACAGCCCAGGUUUAAAGGAAGUGCUUCGAUAAGGAAUUGGAGUAAAUCGUUCAAAGCGUAAUUUAAAUUUAAGCAACCUUAUGAUCAGAAGUACGUAUUCCGUGCACGUAUACAGAUAUCAUUAAUUUCACUGCAAUUAAUUCCUAGUUAUGUAAAUGAACUUAAUCGCCAUCAAAAUCAAGUAAAUUACAGAUGGUCGAAUACUUCUCAUCAAUUCUAGAAUACAGGUUGUCAACAUCGCACAACGUUUCAAUUUUGGUUUGUGUCUGCACUCAAUCUUUUUUUAAGGGAAUAAAAUUCAUCCAAUAUAAAAUGAUUUCGUUUUUUUUCUACUUUCUCGAAUCUUGAUUUGAAUACCUAUUUAUAUUUCAUAGUUUAUACAUUUCUGUUUUUCUAUCUCGAUUAGUCCGUAUCUUGAAGACCGUACUUACAAGUAGCAGGAAGCAGCAUGUAGCAUGCUACAUGUACAGUGCAACUGUUGUUGAAACUUUAUCGCGCUUUGAAAUGCUUAAAAAUAAUGCAUCCUAUUCAUCUAUACAAGCUAGAAGUAAGGGAACUUGCAUGUAGCCAACUGUCACCUGUAGGGAGUAUUCCUCGGUUCUUUGGCCUUGUGACAUCAAACAUGUGACAUAUCGGGAUAACUUCGACGUUUUGAGGCAAUAUGGUCUAUAUACAAGUUAGGAUUAGAGUAUUCAAAAUUAAUAAUUAUUGUAUGCUAUCGGUAUAAUCAAUAAUUAUUGUAUGUUAGCAGUUUAUAUUGAUAAACAUCUCACAAAAUGGAUCAAAUUACGCCAA
Stylophora pistillata is the source of this 1276-nucleotide long non-coding RNA. RefSeq lists it as uncharacterized. Lineage: Eukaryota; Metazoa; Cnidaria; Anthozoa; Scleractinia; Pocilloporidae. The record is from RefSeq and is a predicted model, not a curated record.